CCUGGUUGAUCUUGCCAGUAGUCAUAUGCUUGUCUCAAAGAUUAAGCCAUGCAAGUGAAAGUAUAUAUAUAUUUUAUAUGUAGAAACUGCGAACGGCUCAUUAAAACAGUUAUAGUCUACUUGACAUUUUUAUUAUAAGGAUAACUACGGAAAAGCUGUAGCUAAUACUUGCUUUAUUAUCCUUUGAUUUUUAUCUUUGGAUAAGUAUUUGUUAGGCCUUAUAAGAAAAAAGUUAUUAACUUAAGGAAUUAUAACAAAGAAGUAACACGUAAUAAAUUUAUUUUAUUUAGUGUGUAUCAAUCGAGUUUCUGACCUAUCAGCUUUUGAUGUUAGGGUAUUGGCCUAACAUGGCUAUGACGGGUAACGGGGAAUUAGAGUUCGAUUCCGGAGAGGGAGCCUGAGAAAUAGCUACCACAUCUAAGGAAGGCAGCAGGCGCGUAAAUUACCCAAUUCUAAAGAAGAGAGGUAGUGACAAGAAAUAACAAUGCAAGGCCAAUUUUUGGUUUUGUAAUUGGAAUGGUGGGAAUUUAAAACCUUCCCAGAGUAACAAUUGGAGGGCAAGUCUGGUGCCAGCAGCCGCGGUAAUUCCAGCUCCAAUAGCGUAUAUUAAAAUUGUUGCAGUUAAAACGCUCGUAGUUGAAUUUCAAAGAAUCGAUAUUUUAUUGUAACUAUUCUAGGGGAACUAUUUUAGCUUUUCGCUUUAAUACGCUUCCUCUAUUAUUAUGUUCUUUAAAUAACAAAGAUUCUUUUUAAAAUCCCCACUUUGCUUUUGCUUUUUGGGGAUUUUGUUACUUUGAGUAAAUUAGAGUGUUCAAAGCAAACAGUUAAAGCAUUUACUGUGUUUGAAUACUAUAGCAUGGAAUAACAAAAUUGAACAAGCUAAAAUUUUUUGUUCUUUUUUCUUAUUUUGGCUUAGUUACGAUUAAUAGGAGUAGCUUUGGGGACAUUCGUAUUCAGAUGUCAGAGGUGAAAUUCUUAGAUUUUCUGGAGACGAACAACUGCGAAAGCAUUUGUCUAAAAUACUUCCAUUAAUCAAGAACGAAAGUUAAGGGAGUGAAGACGAUCAGAUACCGUCGUAAUCUUAACCAUAAACUAUGCCGACUAGGUGUUGGAUGAAAGUGUUAAAAAUAAAAGUCAUCUUUCGAGGUGACUUUUUUUAGAUUGCUUCCUUCAGUACCUUAUGAGAAAUCAAAGUCUUUGGGUUCUGGGGCGAGUAUUCGCGCAAGCGAGAAAGUUAAAAGAAUUGACGGAAGGGCACCACCAGGCGUGGAGCUUGCGGCUUAAUUUGACUCAACACGGGUAAACUCACUAGUUUAAGACAAGAGUAGGAUUGACAGAUUAAUAGCUCUUUCUUGAUUUCUUGGAUGGUGAUGCAUGGCCGUUUUUAGUUCGUGAAUAUGAUUUGUCUGGUUAAUUCCGAUAACGAACGAGAUCUUAACCUGCUAAUUAGCGGUUAGUACACUAUAUUUUUAUUUGAAAUUGAAUAUAGGUAACUAUACAUUUUUAUUCAGUAAUCAAAUUAGGAUAUUUUUUUAUUAAAAUAUCCUUUUCCCUGUUCUACUUAAUAAUUUGUUUUUUUUUACUCUAUUUCUCUCUUCUUUUAAGAAUGUACUUGCUUGAUUGAAAAGCUUCUUAGAGGAACAUUGUGUGUCUAACACAAGGAAGUUUAAGGCAACAACAGGUCUGUGAUGUCCUUAGAUGAACUAGGCUGCACGCGUGCUACACUGAUAUAUAUAACGAGUUUUUAAAAAUAUGCUUAUAUUUGUAUCUUUGAUGCUUAUAUUUUGCAUACUUUUCCUCCGCCGAAAGGUGUAGGUAAUCUUUAUCAAUAUAUAUCGUGAUGGGGAUAGAUUAUUGCAAUUAUUAAUCUUGAACGAGGAAUGCCUAGUAAGCAUGAUUCAUCAGAUUGUGCUGACUACGUCCCUGCCCUUUGUACACACCGCCCGUCGCUCCUACCGAUUGAAAGAUAUGAUGAAUUGUUUGGACAAGAAAAAUUUGAAUUUUAUAUUUCUUUUUUUUUUUGAAAAACCGUAAAUCCUAUCUUUUAAAGGAAGGAGAAGUCGUAACAAGGUUUCCGUAGGUGAACCUGCGGAAG
This 2095-nucleotide ribosomal RNA is filed under the name Plasmodium falciparum 58.1. RNAcentral's name for it is "SSU rRNA". It matches the Rfam family "Eukaryotic small subunit ribosomal RNA". Lineage: Eukaryota; Apicomplexa; Aconoidasida; Haemosporida; Plasmodiidae. The record is from RNAcentral.